RNAcentral lists this long non-coding RNA (596 nucleotides) under Mytilus galloprovincialis (Mediterranean mussel). The record is from RNAcentral. Lineage: Eukaryota; Metazoa; Mollusca; Bivalvia; Mytilida; Mytilidae.
UUCUCAUCCAAGUACUCAAUUCUAUGCUAUUACAAUUCAUAUCAUCUAGCAAAUAUUAAGUAGCUGGGAAGAAUAAAUCAGACAGUUUAACUAUUCUUAUUCUUUCUGCGACCUAGUCUGCGUUGGAUUGCAAUCGUAACUACUCGGCCAUUCUCGCUACGCAGUACAAUAGCUAUUUCUUCGUGCAACCAGAAAGGCCGAGUUGUUCCGAUUGCGUUGGAUUGAUCAACGGAAAUGAAACAGUGAUAAUAAUCGAAAGUCGUACUCGAAAAGGCUGUGAAAUAUUUCCGUUUCAAGCCGUUACUAAAUAAAACUUUUUUUUUAUAUUAAGUUAAAAUAAAACAUUAUAAAAAGUUGUCACUUAUUUAAAGAAAUAAACAAAAUUUAAUCGAUAUCCCGUUUCAUCUGUUCAUAAUGCAUGGCUGUGAUUUCGUAAUGCACGGGUAUGAUUUCGUAAUGCAUGACUGAGAUUUCGUAAUGACUGGCUGUAGCAAUUUCUCCGUUCAUAAUGACCAGUUGUCGAAAUUUUCCUUUUAUAAAGCAUGGGCAUUUCUAUACAUAUUGUAGUAAGUUGGUUAAUAAAAGCAUAUACAUAC